Non-coding RNA from Glossina austeni, 83 nucleotides. NCBI's taxonomy places the organism in Eukaryota, Metazoa, Arthropoda, Insecta, Diptera, Glossinidae. The record is from Rfam.
UUUCAGUACGUCGGCGCCAUGGAUGGCGAACCGUGCAUGCUGCUAGCAAACAUGCUGCUACCAGCAGUAAUUUUUGAAGAUUU